Non-coding RNA from Schistosoma margrebowiei, 45 nucleotides. Lineage: Eukaryota; Metazoa; Platyhelminthes; Trematoda; Strigeidida; Schistosomatidae. The record is from Rfam.
AUCCAGCCGAAGAGUCCCAAAUAGGACAAAACGAACGUCCUGGAU